UACGUAGGGUGCAAGCGUUUAUCCGGAAUUAUUGGGCGUAAAGAGCUCGUAGGCGGUUUGUCGCGUCUGCUGUGAAAACUGGAGGCUCAACCUCCAGCCUGCAGUGGGUACGGGCAGACUAGAGUGUGGUAGGGGAGACUGGAAUUCCUGGUGUAGCGGUGAAAUGCGCAGAUAUCAGGAGGAACACCGAUGGCGAAGGCAGGUCUCUGGGCCGCAACUGACGCUGAGGAGCGAAAGCAUGGGGAGCGAACAGG
This 254-nucleotide ribosomal RNA is filed under the name uncultured bacterium. Its description in RNAcentral is "partial 16S ribosomal RNA". It matches the Rfam family "Bacterial small subunit ribosomal RNA", at positions 524 to 776 of the family's 1533-position model. The record is from RNAcentral.